RNAcentral lists this ribosomal RNA (253 nucleotides) under uncultured bacterium. Its description in RNAcentral is "partial 16S ribosomal RNA". It matches the Rfam family "Bacterial small subunit ribosomal RNA", at positions 524 to 776 of the family's 1533-position model. The record is from RNAcentral.
UACGAAGGGGGCUAGCGUUGCUCGGAUUUACUGGGCGUAAAGGGCGCGUAGGCGGACAGUUAAGUUGGGGGUGAAAGCCCGGGGCUCAACCUCGGAAUUGCCUUCAAUACUGGCUGUCUUGAGUGUGAGAGAGGUGUGUGGAACUCCGAGUGUAGAGGUGAAAUUCGUAGAUAUUCGGAAGAACACCAGUGGCGAAGGCGACACACUGGCUCACUACUGACGCUGAGGCGCGAAAGCGUGGGGAGCGAACAGG